This 58-nucleotide transfer RNA is filed under the name uncultured Geminigera. It matches the Rfam family "tRNA", at positions 10 to 63 of the family's 71-position model. Rfam says of the family: Transfer RNA (tRNA) molecules are approximately 80 nucleotides in length. Their secondary structure includes four short double-helical elements and three loops (D, anti-codon, and T loops). Lineage: Eukaryota; Cryptophyceae; Pyrenomonadales; Geminigeraceae. The record is from RNAcentral.
GCUCAGUUGGUCAGAGCGCGGGACUGUUAAUCCCGAGUUUGUUGGUUCGAUUCCGUCA